Molecule: long non-coding RNA, 203 nt
Filed under: Mytilus galloprovincialis (Mediterranean mussel)
Lineage: Eukaryota; Metazoa; Mollusca; Bivalvia; Mytilida; Mytilidae
Source: RNAcentral
UACGAUAGUAGAGGGGCAUUAUGUUUUCUGGUCUGUGCGUCCGUUCGUCUGUCCGUCUGUCUCGCUUCAGGUUAAAGUUUUUGGUCAAAUUAGUUUUUGAUGAAGUUGAAGUCCAAUAGACUUCAAACUUGGUACACAUGUUCCCUAUGAUAUGAUCUUUCUAAUUGUAAUGCCAAAUUAGAGAUUUUACUCCAAUUUCACGG